Molecule: long non-coding RNA, 1464 nt
Filed under: Astyanax mexicanus (Mexican tetra)
Lineage: Eukaryota; Metazoa; Chordata; Actinopteri; Characiformes; Acestrorhamphidae
Description: lncRNA (ENSAMXG00005011004.1)
Source: RNAcentral
CAUCAUUAGUGAAAGUGAAACUAUUCAGUGUGUGGGAUCCUUCAACCCCUGUAGCGCCGUCAGAGUUACCACGCUUAAGCGGCUGUCUGAAAGAUGGACAAGGCUUUUGUUCUUGAUGGAUGCGCUGUGUUUUUGUUCCUCCCUCAAGUUGCUGAUUCCUGAUAAGGUUUGACGCUGUAAAGACGAGUGAUGUUUGCUUUGUUCUGCCACUCCUUCUCCUCCGCCCUGCAGAAGACAAGAUGUCAGAUGACAGUCAAACUGAAAGAUAUGGCAAGAAAACGGUAGAAUUCCCAGAAAAGAUAUUGAAGAGAAGGAGGGGACGGAGGAACCGGUCCUACAGGGGGAUGACUGGGCAUCCGGAGAGCAGUCUCUAAACUUCAGAGAAACACAAAAGAUACGUCCCAAAGAUCUGCUUCAGAAGAAAGAUGGCAGCCUGGAGUGGGGUGACUAUUUUUCACAAACUUUCCACAUAUUUGACAAAUUUAUUUUAAUGUAAAGCUUUUAUGGAGCAGAGUGAAGAACAAUGUGUGUUGUCUGUUUGUAAAGUGGACUGUCGACGAAUCAACUCUUUAUAGCAUGGAAGGGGCGAAGAUAGGUUUGAUGUUCUGUGUUGAGACAAAGAACCCUGGUGCUCCCAGGGACAUGGACAUCAUGGACAGGUUCUACAGAAAGUUUGGGUUUGAAGGUGAAAUAAUAAGACAGCCAACUAAAGAGUUCAUGCUGAGGUCUUUGCAGAAUCUUGCCAACUACAGUCCAAAACCAGUCAGCUGCAUCCUGAUUGCAUUCUCCGGUCAUGGUGAUGAAAACGUUGGGGAAUGGAACGAAACUGAGCUGGUCACCGCUGAUCACCAACGAGUGAAUGAAUAGAGGAGUUUGGAGUCAUGCACGGCUCAGGCAAAAUCCAGGGAUUAAGAGCUAAGAAUGAGCGUGAUGAGGAAUACCUCCGAAAAUACAGGACAAGCUACCGGUCAGCUGUCAUCAACGACAUGUUUGCAGCGUAUGCAGCAACUCCAGGCAAUCCAGCCUACAUGGAUGAAUUGACAGGGGGCUAUCUGUUCUUCUGCAUUGAAAGAGUGUUUCUGGACCACAGCACAGUCGGAAUACACUUCAUGGAUCUGUUCAUAAGGGUGAAGCAGUGCUUCGAAAAAAUCAACUCAAGCACAUGCGUUGAUUUACCACUGCUGACCAUGAACAUGGAGAGCACCUUCAGCCAUCUCCUCUAUCUGGGCUAGAGCUGUACUAAAAUACAAUACCUGCGUUAUUCCUCUACUACUCUCUCUCUAUAUAUAUUAUUAUUAAGGGACCAUUUCAGUUUCUGAAUCAGUUCUCUGAUUUUGCUUUUGUCAUUUAGAGCAUGUAAAGUUCCGAAAUCAAGAUUUGGUGGAAUAACCCUGCUUUUUAAUCACAGUUUUUUCAUGCAUCUUGGCAUCAUGUUCUCCUCCUCCACCAGUCUUACACACUGCU